This 887-nucleotide long non-coding RNA is filed under the name Nicotiana benthamiana. RNAcentral describes it as "long non-coding RNA (NBEN_LNC032325)". The record is from RNAcentral. Lineage: Eukaryota; Viridiplantae; Streptophyta; Magnoliopsida; Solanales; Solanaceae.
AGCAACAGUUGCAACAACUACACGAACAUCGACUCAGACAGCAGUUUGGAGGUCAGAUGAUUCAUGACUUUGUAGAUUGAAUGGUUUAUUAUGACAAUUGUCUAGCAAGUUUAAGUUUAAGCCACGUAAUGACAUCACAAGAUAAAUGUGCUUGAGUAGUGAAAGGCACCAUAAAGGUAUGGGGAAAAUAGUUGUAGAUUGUCAUUUAUGUAGUAGCAAGUAUAGUGGGGCUUAACCAUAUAUUCAAAGGCUCUUGAAUUAUGAUUCUCAAAUACAAGUGAACGAACAUGUGUUCACUUAACUAAAGGGUAAGAAAUACUUUGGACACUUUGCUAUAUGGAAAUGCAAACUGAAGGUUCUAAUAUUUUUUGUGUUAAUUAAGGUCAAGUGCUGUGAUGUUUUUAAGCAGGCAAAAUGGAGAAGUUUCACAAAUAUUAAGCACGCAAGGUGGAAUUGUCACAAGCAAAGCUCAAAUCUGACACUUUUUGUGAGCAAGUUUAAGUUUAAGCCGCUUAAUGACAUCACAAGAUAAAUGUGCUGAAUUUUGUUGAUAUAUUGAGUAGUGAAAUGCGCCACAUAUGUAUGGGGAAAAUAGUUGUAGAUUGUCUUUUAUGUAGUAGUAUGUAUAGGGGGCUUAACCAUAUAUCAUGACAAGGCUCUUGAAUUAUGAUUCUCAAAUACAAGUGAACUAACAUGUGUUCACUUAACUAAAGGGUAAGAAAUACUUUGGACCCUUUGCUAUAUGUGUAAUUUAAGGUUCUAAAUUCUUUUGUCAAGGAUAAAGGAAUCCCAAGGGCAUACACAGAAUUUUUAGAAGGCAAUAUCACCAUUUAAAGAAGUGAAUAUCAUUAUAACAUAUUAUUAAGAAAAUGAAAUUUGACUCAGAU